Molecule: long non-coding RNA, 2507 nt
Organism: Rosa chinensis
Lineage: Eukaryota; Viridiplantae; Streptophyta; Magnoliopsida; Rosales; Rosaceae
Exons: 3
Source: RefSeq, a predicted model, not a curated record
UACUUUCCUCAAUUACAGUUUGCCAUUCUUCUGUAACCUUCUGAUUCGAUUGUCGCCAGAAGAACCCAGAGAGAGAUCAAUAAUCAAUCACCCCUAAUCGCGUGUACACAUCUCUUGAGGAGAGAGAGAGAGAGAGAGAGAACGAAGAGAGCCGAGUGAUCUGGGUAGAAGAAGAAGAAGGGAUUUCGAAUCGCAAACAAAUCCUCUCCAUAACUCCUUCUUCCAUAAAUCUUUCUCCUCCACUGUUAUUCAGCCCGGGCAGUCCAACCCGAAGGGUAAACUAAUUCAAUUUCUUGGUGAUUGAAUCUUAAAUUUCCCAAUAGGUUGAAUUUUAAUUCUUUGUUAAUUUCUUCAUGAUUGAUCAACUAGUUUGAUUGUCGUGGUUCUUCGAAUUUUGCGUUUUGUAGUUGAGGAUAAAGCCAAGUUGUGCCCUUGUGUUAAAGAUGAUGUAUCCAUUACUAUAUUAGAAGCAAAGCUCUCAUAUUUUGGACAUGCGAGUAAGGCAUAUACAUUUCUGUAAUUGAAGAAUUCUAAUAUUGAUGACUGGAUACUUGAGUGAUGCAACUAUGGCUGAGGAUGCCUUAUCUGUUUGCAUGACUAUAAUGAUUGGGAGCUCAUAUUUCCUUUAACCUUCUUUGCGGGGACAGGGUAUAGUCUCUUCUAUCUCUACCUCUUUUGGCUCCUCCUAACUUUCUCCUUUUGUAUUAUUGGGAAUUUGAAAUGGGGAUCCCUAUAUGAACCUUAUAAAAAUCUCAGUAGUGAAAUGAAGCUUCUGAUACCUGCAUACAGGACAUUUAAAUUUGACAAUUGAGACAAAAGUCCGGAAUUGGUCCUGUUAAGUUGUUGUUAAAUAUAUAUUGGCAAAACUGCCAGUCAACCACUCAAACCUUUUGUUACAAAGCGUGCUAUAGUACUCAAUUUUACAAGUCUAUUUCUGUUUGGGUGGAUAGAUGAAUUGACAUUAGUUACCUUAAGGACCAUGCCAUUCCGGAUAACCUUAAUUAGACUAAAGUUGUGACCUUUUCUAGAAUGAAACCUCUCUGUAUAUCUUGCAAAGAGCAAACAUUGAAUGCUGGCUUCUGUUUCAUGACUUCCAUCCAUUGUUUUUGUUUAUAAAUGGUGUAUGUAAUUUUUAAUCUCAUUGAUCUUUUUUGUUGUUUAGCAUAUGGUAAUGUUUAUGAUUUUGAGUGGAAAAUACUGGAUUCAUUAGUUCUUUUUUCUUUUUCUUCUUUUCUUUUUCCUUUUUAGUUAUACUGUUUCUGAAACAAAUAUGACCAAAUGAAGAUAACGUUCUGAGAUUGAUGAUUUCCAUUUAGAUAUGAGUUCCAUUAGACAGUAAUAUUACAUUCUGAAGAUCAAUGAACUCUGUUUAGAUAUGAUUUCCAUUUAGAGAGUAUGAUUACAUUCUGAAGAAAUUAGACAAUAAGAUUACACAUGACAGGAACUUUCGAAGUUCAGUUAACUUGCAGUUAGCAUUAUGGUUGACACCUGAGCAUAUUUUUCUCUUUAUCUAGUGAUACAUUUAAACUCACUAUUAAGCUAGAUCAAGAUCCACGUUACCAAUUAAAAUGCAGUGCAAUUUCAUGUCUACGAAAGAGAAAAUACAAAAUACAUCAUGUGCUCCACAACCAAGAGGAUUUUAAUCCAAAUGUGGUUUUCAUAAAUAGUUUAAUGCCAGCUGUUCAUAGACCCUAUAUUUCAAUCCUAAUUGUAUUAUGUUCAUUACAAAAUAAACAAGAGAUCAUCUAUUUUUAGCAUAAAUUUUUCUGAUUGCUUCUUUGGUUCUUUUUUUUUUUUUUUUUUUUUUUUAACAAUUGAAACCUAGAACUGUUUUUUUUUUUGGUUGCCAAAACAAACUCUCUUUGUUUGUUAAAUUUGUUACUGUAAGAAGAUAGAAAUGUGUUUUUGGCUUAAAGUCUCAAAUUUACUAUUGCUCGGUUUAUUCUUGAGGUAUAGUUGAUUCCUUUUUUUGUUGCCAAAACAAAAACUCUUUUUUCUUUUGAAGUAGGUGACUUAACGAUUUAUUUCAGGAUUUCAUUGUUGUUUUGUUUGGCUUUUGUAGAUUUCAUGCGAAGGAGUGUAGAUCUCACUCCUUUUGCUGUUGUUCCUUUUUUGGCUACUUUGCACCAUCUCAAUCACUUAUUCUUAUUCAAGUAUGGGCUUUUUCCUAUUCUCUGGUUGAUUUUGAUAUAGAACGUGAAUUAACUGUUUUGCAUGGCUAUAACUGAAGUAGCCAGUUUUGAACCAGCUCCCACAUUUUGUGCAGCUGCAAACUGGAACAAUAACCCCGUUUGUGCAGCUACAAUUGGAGCAGUCACUUUUUUGGAACCUACUCCAGCAGCAAAUUUUACUACGCUAACUUAGAACUACACUAACUAGCUCUUUGGAUAUACUCCACCUGCUACUUUUUCUAAAGGAGCAACUAAUCUUUUUGUACAACUAGCAUUUUUGAACCAGCUUCAAUAGCAACUAAAGUCUAAAUUGUAUGAAAUUUCGCUAUUUCAAUA